This 500-nucleotide long non-coding RNA is filed under the name Nicotiana benthamiana. RNAcentral's name for it is "long non-coding RNA (NBEN_LNC030126)". Lineage: Eukaryota; Viridiplantae; Streptophyta; Magnoliopsida; Solanales; Solanaceae. The record is from RNAcentral.
CCCCUUUCCUUUACCCUAACUUAUUAUAUCCUCAUUUCCUACCUAUACAGUAUAAUACAGAAUACACUCGCCGUUUCUACCCUAUUUCAGGGUUAAUCGCCGGGCGUCGGCUGCGCCGCUUCUGAAAUUUUCUUAUCGAGUUAUUUCCAUUCAGUUUCUUCACUCAAAAUCCCUCCUUUCUCCCAUAGAUCUGGUAAUUCUCUUUCUCCAAAUGGGUUCUUUCAAUUUUUUAGAAAUUUGGUUAUUGUUUUAAGUAUCCCGGCAACAUGGUCUCCAGCAGCUUCUACGAAGUUGAACUUCAUAUAUGUCAAAGUUUUUGUGUAAUAUAUAAAUCGUUUGAUUCUGUAGACCUGGAGUUUGUGUAAUAGCAGGCAAUGGGUGGCGGAUGAUAUAUUAAUGUAUCUUUUGUUUCUUUUCCUUAACUUUUAGAAAUUGCAUGAGCAUACCAGAGUGGGAAGACUGGAACUGAUUUGAUGCUUUGAUAAUCAUGUUAAUGCCCU